Non-coding RNA from Oryctolagus cuniculus (rabbit), 376 nucleotides. The record is from RefSeq and is a predicted model, not a curated record. Lineage: Eukaryota; Metazoa; Chordata; Mammalia; Lagomorpha; Leporidae.
CCCCGCGCCCCGGACGGGGCGGCCGGGGAGGCCGGGGGCGACGCCGGGCCCGGGCCCCGGGCGCAGGUGCGGCUGCUGCCCACGCCUCUCACGCGGCCUCGGCGGCCGGGCCCUGGAGGAGCAAGAAAAUGGAGUUGUUUGUAAGAGGUUUGAAAACCUCUGUGCAAACCAGGAAAAAAACCCGUUUGAAGAAACACCUCCGUCUACUGCCCCCGCCCCAGCUGAGGACCCGUAGCCCACCCUGAGAUACAAAAGGAGCCCACCGAGGACCGGGCCCUCGGCCACGUGCUCGCCCUGAGUGCCCGCCACACGUGGCCGCCCACCCCUGCAAGUGUAUUUAUUUUUCUUGAAUAAAAAAAAGUCAUUCUGGCUGCGA